GACGAACGCUGGCGGCGUGCUUAACACAUGCAAGUCGAACGGAAAGGCCCUGCUUUUGUGGGAUGCUCGAGUGGCGAACGGGUGAGUAACACGUGAGUAGCCUGCCCUUUACUUUGGGAUAACUUCAGGAAACUGGGGCUAAUACCGGAUAUGAGCUCCUUCUGCAUGGGGGGUGUUGGUAAGUUUCGGCGGUUGGGGAUGGACUCGCGGCUUAUCAGCUUGUUGGUUGGGUAGUGGCUUACCAAGGCUUUGACGGGUAGCCGGCCUGAGAGGGUGACCGGCCACAUUGGGACUGAGAUACGGCCCAGACUGCUACGGGAGGCAGCAGUGGGGAAUAUUGCAAAAUGCGCGGAAGCCUUAUGCAGCAACGCCGCGUGCGGGAUGACGGCCUUCGGGUUGUAAACCGCUUUCGACUGUGACGAAGCGUGAGUGACGGUAAUGGGUAAAGAAGCAACGGCUAACUACGUG
This 468-nucleotide ribosomal RNA is filed under the name uncultured bacterium. Its description in RNAcentral is "partial 16S ribosomal RNA". It matches the Rfam family "Bacterial small subunit ribosomal RNA", at positions 28 to 507 of the family's 1533-position model. The record is from RNAcentral.